GAUGAACGCUGGCGGUAUGCUUGACACAUGCAAGUCGAACGGACUCUUCGGAGUUAGUGGCGGACGGGUGAGUAACGCGUGAGAAUCUGGCUUUGGGUUCGGGACAACCACUGGAAACGGUGGCUAAUACCGGAUGUGCCGAGAGGUAAAAGAGAAAUUGCCUGAAGAUGAGCUCGCGUCUGAUUAGCUAGUUGGUGAGGUAAAGGCUCACCAAGGCAGCGAUCAGUAGCUGGUCUGAGAGGAUGACCAGCCACACUGGGACUGAGACACGGCCCAGACUCCUACGGGAGGCAGCAGUGGGGAAUUUUCCGCAAUGGGCGAAAGCCUGACGGAGCAAUACCGCGUGAGGGAAGAAGGCUCUUGGGUUGUAAACCUCUUUUCUUAGGGAAGAACAAAAUGACGGUACCUAAGGAAUCAGCAUCGGCUAACUCCGUG
This 435-nucleotide ribosomal RNA is filed under the name uncultured bacterium. RNAcentral describes it as "partial 16S ribosomal RNA". It matches the Rfam family "Bacterial small subunit ribosomal RNA", at positions 28 to 507 of the family's 1533-position model. The record is from RNAcentral.